RNAcentral lists this ribosomal RNA (513 nucleotides) under uncultured bacterium. Its description in RNAcentral is "bacterial SSU rRNA". It matches the Rfam family "Bacterial small subunit ribosomal RNA", at positions 345 to 873 of the family's 1533-position model. The record is from RNAcentral.
GAGGCAGCAGCAAGGAAUUUUGGGCAAUGGGCGAAACCCCGACCCAGCAACGCCGCGUGAGGGAUGAAGGCUUUCGGGUUGUAAACCUCUUUUCAUAGGGAAGAAUAAUGACGGUACCUGUGGAAUAAGCUUCGGCUAACUACCUGCCAGCAACCGCGGUAAUACGUAGGAAGCAAGCGUUAUCCGGAUUUAUUGGGCGUAAAGUGAGCGUAGGUGGUCUUUCAAGUUGGAUGUGAAAUUUCCCGGCUUAACCGGGACGAGUCAUUCAAUACUGUUGGACUAGAGUACAGCAGGAGAAAACGGAAUUCCCGGUGUAGUGGUAAAAUGCGUAGAUAUCGGGAGGAACACCAGAGGCGAAGGCGGUUUUAUAGGUUGUCAAUGACACUGAGGCUCGAAAGCGCGGGGAGCGAACAGAAUUAGAUACUCUGGUAGUCCACGCCUUAAACUAUGGACACUAGGUAUAGGGAGUAUCGACCCUCUCUGUGCCGAAGCUAACGCUUUAAGUGUCCCGCC